AUGAGGCCUGUUAAGCGUGUUGCUUUUGAAGGCACUGUAACAGGAAGGCGUUUCUAUGGCUGCCCGGUCUAGGCAAAUGGUGUGAAUUGUGGUGUUGUAGAGUGGGUUAAUGGGCCUUGGCCUACUGUUCUUCAGAGAUGUUUGAGCAGGCUGUGGGAAAUGUUCCAUGAGCAGAACUAUGGAAGGGUACUUGACAAGGAGAAGUUUGAGAAUGAGUUGGCCAAGCUGAAGACUGAAAAUGACAAGCUUUGCAUUGAGUACACCAAGCUUGUUGAUGAUGUAUCCAAGAUGUUUGAUUGGCAGGAUGGUAGGGUGGAUAAGAAACAAGUGGAGGAGGAAGAACUUGAGAAGAAGAAGGAGCUAGAGGAGAAAGCUAUGUUGGAGGUGCAGAUGGAAAAGCUCAAACUUGCAAAAGAGCAGAGGUGCAUUUUGCAGAGCCAAGCUGAUAUCAUCAAGAACACCAGGAAGGCUAUGAAGGAUGUUCAAGUUGACAGAGAUUUUCUUAAGAAGGAGAAGGACAAGCUUGAGCUUGUUGUUGCUGAGCUGCUGAAAGAUGGCUAUGGCAGCAAGGAGAAGUUAGAGCAAAUCAACGCCAUCCUUGAAUCUUGA
RNAcentral lists this ribosomal RNA (609 nucleotides) under Triticum aestivum (bread wheat). RNAcentral's name for it is "partial small subunit ribosomal RNA". The record is from RNAcentral. Lineage: Eukaryota; Viridiplantae; Streptophyta; Magnoliopsida; Poales; Poaceae.